This is an RNA transcript of Scatophagus argus, 3946 nucleotides long. It is a transcript of the gene named ETS transcription factor ELK4, with no coding region annotated. The transcript has 7 exons. Lineage: Eukaryota; Metazoa; Chordata; Actinopteri; Scatophagidae. The record is from RefSeq and is a predicted model, not a curated record.
UGAAUGCAACAUUUUUUUCCAGUUCAAAGGAUAUAUCGUCAGUACAAGCCAAGGGAGUUUAAUGUAUUUUAUGUUCAGGCAUUUCUUUGACAUUUCCUUUAGAACUUAUUUCCUGAUCUAUGGCACAAUAGAAGGCUUUCCAGCAAUGUUUGGGGAAUAUUACGACGCGGCUCGACGACUCGGAAAUUCAGCGGGCUCUACGAGCGAGUGAGAGACAUGGACAACUCUGUCACCCUGUGGCAGUUCCUUCUCCAGCUCCUAUUGGAUUCCAGCAAUGAGCAGCUGAUCUGCUGGACCAAUGAGGAAGGAGAGUUUAAACUGCUACAGGCAGAGGAGGUGGCGCGUCUAUGGGGAGCCCGCAAGAACAAGCCCAACAUGAACUAUGACAAACUCAGCAGGGCUCUCAGAUACUACUAUGACAAGAACAUCAUAAAGAAGGUAAACGGUCAGAAGUUUGUCUAUCGCUUUGUGUCCUAUCCUGACAUUCUGAAAGGAGACGUCUCUACCCGAACAGAGGGUGGCGAUGUGGGUGCUGGGGGAAUCCCUCCCCUGACAAAGAGGGGAGACAGCACCCAACAAGAGGGUGAGUCUGGUGACCGCAGCAAAGUAGGCGGUAUCGCAGCAGCCGUGGGCUCAGGCACCAAGCAGUCAAACCGUAACGAUUACAUCCACUCCGGCCUGUACACCUCCUUCACACUCAACUCGCUGCAAAAUGGACGCCAGCUCUUUAAGUCCAUCAAAAUAGAGAACCCAGCAGAGAAGAUGGCUGACAAGAGAGGUCUCGCUGCCGCUGUCACUGCCACAGCCCAAAGCCAGGAGCAGUUGCUUCAGCCACAGCAGCCAGCUGGCUUGCCGCCAUCCGUCAUCAAGUUUGGAAACACCCCUCUCAAGCCAGCAGCAGUGCCGCCUCCUCAGGUAGACAUAGAGCCCACCCUGAUGUCCAGCCACUUGGAUCCUCUCCAAGCUGCACCUCAGCGGGCCGAAGACAUCAGCGCACACUCCUCCCUGCCGUCCCAGCCCGUCUACUCAUUUGAACAAAUCCGCCCGUCGGAUCCAGCGUUUAGCCUACAAGACCUGACCUCGACAAGCCCGUCGCCAAGCCUACUGCCUGACUCCUCCCAGGAGUUGGUGAUUGACAGUGACAUGGAGUCUAGAUCUUCUCAGCCCACAGACACUCAGGCACCAGAGCCCACAGAUGCUCAGGCACAGGAGAAGGUGGACAGCGGCAUGGGUUUGUCGGGAGAUGAGACCAGUUUGGUGGACGCUGAAACCAGUUCAUCCUCGGUGAGCAGCAGCACCACGGUCAGCACUCAGAGCUCAGGAAAGACACGCAAGCCACCGAAAGUCCUGCAGAUCAGCCCGCCAACUCUGCUGGUCACCACCUCGGACUUCUCCCCCAUGAACCUUUGCAGCCCCUCCCUGCCUACUGCCUCUCUGACACCAGCAAUGCUGCAGACUCCUACUCUGUUGCUGACUCCCAGUCCUCUGCUGUCUAACAUCCACUUCUGGAGCACGCUCAGUCCGGUCGCUCCCCUCAGCCCAGCCACCCGCCGACAGGGAGCCCAUCUGUUCCAAUUUCCGUCUGUCCUCACCCCUCAGUUCCAGAUCCCUGUGCACAGUAUGGAUGGGACCAACACGCCCGGUCCCAUUUCUCCAGACCCUCAGAAGACAUAGGAUCAAACCUCCUCCAGGAUCACCUCAUCUGGACCCAGACCCCGCCACCCUUCCUUUGCCAUUCCUCAUCAGUCUGAUCCUUUAAAGUUCGCUGUCACAGAAUUCACACUACAGUCAGUCAUGUGGAGGGAGGAUCUGGGGAAAUGUUGGCAGUCCAUGUUUGAUGGAUGAGAGUAACACAUUGAGUUUGUCUCGGGGCAUUUACACCCAUCGGACGCUAUCCUGUACUCAUACACACUGAUGCCAUCGUUUCUUAUGCACUUAUGGAUUGAUUUUAUCUGGCUUUUCGGGAUUCUCAGUCAUAGCAAUCUGAAGGAGGGAGGAAUUUCCAUGGCAACAGUUGGUGCAUGUGGAUUGGACCCUCAGCAGUGACAAUCUGCUUCAUACUUGGACACACAGACCAGCGGGAUUGCAGAUUUCUGAAUCUUUCCUUUUAUGGAAUUUCCUUCUUUUAUUGUGCAGCAGUGUUACUGCCAAAACAGACACACAUUAUCAGUUUCUAACCCGUUUCCUCCUCUGCUGACAAUGAUUCUGUUCCUUUGUGUGCUGUCCUUAACUUUUGCUAUUGUCGAAGGGUAAUGCUUUAACCUGAUAACCUGCAUGUUUACCUGGAGCUCUUUUAUUUUAUUUUAUUUUUUUUCCAGACCUCAACUUCGCCUCACCUGCCUGAGUGUGUACUGUUUGCUGCUCUGAGAUGUCGGCUGGCUACAGCCAUAUCCAACAGGACUUUUACCUUGACGGUCUUAUCGUGACAUGUGGCCAUAAUCCGAGCUGAACCUUGCGUCCUGCCUCUAUGUAACCGUUCUGAUGCAUACAGUGGAAUAGCCCCAGAAGCCAGUGUGGCCUGCUCUGCCUCCAGCCGCCUGCAGUUCACCACGUUGAUAUACGGUGCCUUACCACAGCCAAGCCCAGGUUUAUUUCUCAAAAGUGGAUGGAGUUCUAUCAUUUUAAAGGUAGUACAAAACUGACGGUAUACACAAGCAUUUUUUGUUUGCUUUUCUUGCCAUAUCUUUGUGUAGACCAAACCAGAGCCCCAGAAGUUUGGAGUAAAACUUAACAGUGAUGUUUUGUGUGCAAGUACACUGCAGCUCACGUGAUCUGCGACAGCUUACUGGUAUGUGCUGCAGGACCUUCAAUCUGCUGCUGUGAUCUCCAGGAUGUAUAACUGUACAUACAGACAGCAACGUGGGUUAGUAUGCCGCGCAUGUAAAUCUAAUCAGGCCAUGUUUUAGAGUUGGCGACCGUGUCUUUUCCAACCUGCUUAUUAAUGUUUGUGACAACAAAUUUAAUCAGACAGUAUAUAAAUAUACAUAUAUAUAUAUAUAUGUAAAACCUGUUUAUUUUUAUUUUUUUGUGUAAUCUCCUUUCAUUUUCCUGUAACGCCAAUAGAAUUUUAAGAUUAAUUUCUAUUUUUGUAACAGCCAGAUAGUUAGAUGUCUGCCAUUUUGAGUUCUCUGAUUUAAUGUUCUCUUUGUGCAUGUGUUUCAUUCAUUCAUUAUGUCGUUUUCCUCUUGCAUAUUUGGGAGGCCGCUGCCCCAUGGUGGCAUUGGCUGUUUUUUGAGAAUCAAAGCCUUAUGGAGAGAAAUCUAUGUUUUAUAUGUAAAGUGUUUUGAUAUAGUGUUGAUAUUGUACAUGCAGAUGUUGUGAUGGAACGUUUGCACUUAAACUUUCGGGGUUCCUGUCGUAUUGGAUUCUGUCGCUUUUCUAUGACUCAUAUUUCCACUUUGAUGAAAUGUUGUUGACGUUUGCUUACUGAGUAAUGUAUAUUUUCCCAAAGGGAGGAUAAAAUUAUGCACUUCGUAUUUUAUACGAUAAAUCAAGUCUUUUACAGUAUAUUUCAAAUAAUUUACAGUUCGUGAUUAGGCAUGACCACACAAUAUUUAUUUAUUUGAAUUAAUUAUAGAGCCCAAUAAAAUUGGCAGCUUAUAUUGCAUUUUUCAUGACAAACUAUAGAAUAGCUGGAUAAAAACCCCGAAGCCCAUUUGAAACUUUCCUCCAUGAAGUUUUGUAGGACUUUGUCGUUUGCAUAUUUCUUCAUUUGUAUCUUCUGAUGAUGCUUUUCCUUCAACUUACCUUGAAAUGUAAAAUCUUGUUUCAGAAAGAAAUGAAACGGUUCUUGCUUUGUUCUGUCCAGUUUUCUAUUUGUUUGAUGCUCUUUCAAAUGUUUACAAGCUACUUGUCUUAAGUGGCGUAUUGAUGUGUGAGAGGCGUAGAGGAACUAUUUGUAAUGGAAGAGAUAGGUGAGACCAAUAAUAAAAGAUCUCUAACUGCG